CCUACGGGUGGCAGCAGUGGGGAAUAUUGCGCAAUGGGCGAAAGCCUGACGCAGCGACGCCGCGUGAGGGAUGAAGGUCUUCGGAUCGUAAACCUCUGUCAGCAGGGAAGAACGGUCACUGUGCUAAUCAGCAGUGAAUUGACGGUACCUGCAAAGGAAGCACCGGCUAACUCCGUGCCAGCAGCCGCGGUAAUACGGAGGGUGCGAGCGUUAAUCGGAAUUACUGGGCGUAAAGCGCUCGUAGGCGGGAUGUCAAGUCAAGGGGGAAAUCCCCGCGCUCAACGUGGGAACUGCAUUUGAAACUGGCAAACUGGAGUGUGUGAGCGGAUAGUGGAAUUCCAGGUGUAGGAGUGAAAUCCGUAGAUAUCUGGAGGAACAUCAGUGGCGAAGGCGACUAUCUGGCACAUAACUGACGCUGAGGAGCGAAGGCGUGGGUAGCAAACAGGAUUAGAUACCCGGGUAGUC
Molecule: ribosomal RNA, 465 nt
Filed under: uncultured bacterium
Lineage: Bacteria
Description: partial 16S ribosomal RNA
Rfam family: Bacterial small subunit ribosomal RNA
Source: RNAcentral